GAUGAACGCUGGUGGCGUGCCUAAUACAUGCAAGUCGAGCGAACAGAUAAGGAGCUUGCUCCUUUGACGUUAGCGGCGGACGGGUGAGUAACACGUGGGUAACCUACCUAUAAGACUGGGAUAACUUCGGGAAACCGGAGCUAAUACCGGAUAAUAUUUCGAACCGCAUGGUUCGAUAGUGAAAGAUGGUUUUGCUAUCACUUAUAGAUGGACCCGCGCCGUAUUAGCUAGUUGGUAAGGUAACGGCUUACCAAGGCGACGAUACGUAGCCGACCUGAGAGGGUGAUCGGCCACACUGGAACUGAGACACGGUCCAGACUCCUACGGGAGGCAGCAGUAGGGAAUCUUCCGCAAUGGGCGAAAGCCUGACGGAGCAACGCCGCGUGAGUGAUGAAGGUCUUCGGAUCGUAAAACUCUGUUAUUAGGGAAGAACAGACGUGUAAGUAACUGUGCACGUCUUGACGGUACCUAAUCAGAAAGCCACGGCUAACUACGUG
RNAcentral lists this ribosomal RNA (497 nucleotides) under uncultured bacterium. RNAcentral describes it as "partial 16S ribosomal RNA". It matches the Rfam family "Bacterial small subunit ribosomal RNA", at positions 28 to 507 of the family's 1533-position model. The record is from RNAcentral.